CAGUAGCCGCGGUAAUACGAAGGGUGCAAGCGUUAAUCGGAAUUACUGGGCGUAAAGCGUGCGUAGGCGGUUUGUUAAGUCUGUUGUGAAAUCCCCGGGCCCAACCUGGGAAUGGCAAUGGAUACUGGCAAGCUAGAGUGUGUCAGAGGAUGGUGGAAUUCCCGGUGUAGCGGUGAAAUGCGUAGAGAUCGGGAGGAACAUCAGUGGCGAAGGCGGCCAUCUGGGACAACACUGACGCUGAGGCACGAAAGCGUGGGGAGCAAACAGGAUUAGAUACCCGCGUAGUCCCUGUCUCUUAUAC
RNAcentral lists this ribosomal RNA (301 nucleotides) under uncultured bacterium. RNAcentral's name for it is "partial 16S ribosomal RNA". It matches the Rfam family "Bacterial small subunit ribosomal RNA", at positions 509 to 807 of the family's 1533-position model. The record is from RNAcentral.